CGCGUAGGCGGCCUAUUAAGUCAGAUGUGAAAGCCCGGGGCUCAACCCCGGAAGUGCAUUUGAAACUAGUGGGCUUGAGUAUGGGAGAGGGAAGUGGAAUUCCUGGUGUAGAGGUGAAAUUCGUAGAUAUCAGGAGGAACACCGGUGGCGAAGGCGACUUCCUGGACCAAUACUGACGCUGAGGCGCGAAGGCGUGGGUAGCAAACA
Molecule: ribosomal RNA, 207 nt
Filed under: uncultured delta proteobacterium
Lineage: Bacteria; Deltaproteobacteria
Description: partial 16S ribosomal RNA
Rfam family: Bacterial small subunit ribosomal RNA
Source: RNAcentral